UACGGGGGGGGCUAGCGUUAUUCGGAUUGAAUGGGCGUAAAGGAUGCGUAGGCAAAAUUAGCAAUGUAUACUAAAAUGCCAGUAGAUAUACUGGAAGAGUCGUAUGCUAAUCGCUAAUGAUUGAGUUCAAUAGAAGUUAAGGGAAUUUUCAGUGGAGUGGUCUAAUACUUCGAUACUGAAAGGAAUGCCAUUUGGCGAAGGCACUUUUCUAGGUUGGACUGGCGUUGAGGCAUGAAGGUGUGGGGAUCAAACGGG
RNAcentral lists this ribosomal RNA (255 nucleotides) under uncultured bacterium. RNAcentral describes it as "partial 16S ribosomal RNA". It matches the Rfam family "Bacterial small subunit ribosomal RNA", at positions 524 to 776 of the family's 1533-position model. The record is from RNAcentral.